CCCGGCGUGGACGGGUCGGUCCCCGUCGGUGCGGCCGGCGCCCGCGACUGACCGCGGGCAGGCCGCGGGGCUCCGCGGCCCCGGUCCGGGG
RNAcentral lists this transfer RNA (91 nucleotides) under Kitasatospora indigofera. RNAcentral's name for it is "tRNA-Arg". Lineage: Bacteria; Bacillati; Actinomycetota; Actinomycetes; Kitasatosporales; Streptomycetaceae. The record is from RNAcentral.